Molecule: long non-coding RNA, 385 nt
Filed under: Lathyrus oleraceus (garden pea)
Lineage: Eukaryota; Viridiplantae; Streptophyta; Magnoliopsida; Fabales; Fabaceae
Description: Pisum sativum (pea) long non-coding RNA (PSAT_LNC036458)
Source: RNAcentral
AAAAACCACAUCGUAUUAACCAUUAGCCCAAACACUUCCCCACCACGUUCAAAAUGUUUAUGUGAGUUAUAAGAUCUAUGUCGAUUCUAAGUUUGGGGUUGUUGUUGGGAUAAUAACCUUUAAGUUUAGGGUAGCUGCGCAGCGUUAGUACGAAUUCGGGUACCUGAUGAUUGAAAAAAAAAAGAGAAGAAAAAUAAAAUAUGAAAGUUGGAAAAAUCAAAUUGAAAAAACAAAAGAAGAAUAAUCAUCAAGGCACUCGAAAGAAGGAGAAGUCAGCGGAUAUCAAAAAUAAAGACAAAUCCAAAAGUUGAAUCCUCAAUAAUAGUUUAUCCUAAAGGGCGAGUUCCAGAAAGAAUUCCAGCACUAAUCCAUCAAAAUGAGCAUA